Molecule: ribosomal RNA, 1448 nt
Filed under: uncultured prokaryote
Description: partial 16S ribosomal RNA
Rfam family: Bacterial small subunit ribosomal RNA
Source: RNAcentral
AUGAACGCUAGCGGCAGGCCUAACACAUGCAAGUCGAGGGGUAACAGGAGAAAGCUUGCUUUUUCGCUGACGACCGGCGCACGGGUGCGUAACGCGUAUACAAUCUACCUCUUACUGGGGGAUAGCCCGGAGAAAUUCGGAUUAAUACCCCAUAAUAUGUUUGAUUCGCAUGUUUUAAAUCUUAAAGCUUCGGCGGUAUAGGAUGAGUAUGCGUCCCAUUAGUUAGUUGGUAAGGUAACGGCUUACCAAGACUACGAUGGGUAGGGGGACUGAGAGGUUGACCCCCCACACUGGUACUGAGACACGGACCAGACUCCUACGGGAGGCAGCAGUGAGGAAUAUUGGUCAAUGGAGGCAACUCUGAACCAGCCAUGCCGCGUGAAGGAAGAAUGUCCUACGGAUUGUAAACUUCUUUUAUUUGGGAAGAAACCUUUCUACGUGUAGAAAGCUGACGGUACCAAAAGAAUAAGGACCGGCUAACUCCGUGCCAGCAGCCGCGGUAAUACGGAGGGUCCAAGCGUUAUCCGGAAUCAUUGGGUUUAAAGGGUUCGCAGGCGGUUUAAUAAGUCAGUGGUGAAAUCUUAAAGCUUAACUGUAGAACUGCCAUUGAUACUGUAAGUCUUGAAUUCGGUCGAAGUGGGCGGAAUAUGUCAUGUAGCGGUGAAAUGCAUAGAUAUGACACAGAACACCGAUUGCGAAGGCAGCUAACUAAGCUAGUACUGACGCUGAGGCACGAAAGCGUGGGGAGCGAACAGGAUUAGAUACCCUGGUAGUCCACGCCGUAAACGAUGAUUACUCGGUGUUGGCGAUAUAAUGUCAGUACCCAAGCGAAAGUGAUAAGUAAUCCACCUGGGGAGUACGAUCGCAAGGUUGAAACUCAAAGGAAUUGACGGGGGCCCGCACAAGCGGUGGAGCAUGUGGUUUAAUUCGAUGAUACGCGAGGAACCUUACCUGGGCUUAAAUGCAUAAUGACAGGUCUAGAAAUAGAUUUUUCUUCGGACAGAAUGCAAGGUGCUGCAUGGCUGUCGUCAGCUCGUGCUGUGAGGUGUCGGGUUAAGUCCCAUAACGAGCGCAACCCCUAUCUUUAGUUGCCAGCGAGUAAUGUCGGGGACUCUAGAGAAACUGCCCGUGCAAGCGGAGAGGAAGGUGGGGACGAUGUCAGGUCAUCACGGCCCUUACGUCCUGGGCUACACACGUGCUACAAUGGCGCAUACAAAGGGCAGCUACCUGGUGACAGGAUGCUAAUCUCUAAAGUGCGUCUCAGUUCGGAUCGAAGUCUGCAACUCGACUUCGUGAAGCUGGAAUCGCUAGUAAUCGGAUAUCAGCCAUGAUCCGGUGAAUACGUUCCCGGGCCUUGUACACACCGCCCGUCAAGCCAUGGAAGCUGGGGGCGCCUGAAGUCGGUCACCGUAAGGAGCCGCCUAGGGUGAAACUGGUAACUAGGGCUA